GAUGAACGCUGGCGGCGUGCCUAAUACAUGCCAGUCGAGCGAACGGACGAGAAGCUUGCUUCUCUGAUGUUAGCGGCGGACGGGUGAGUAACACGUGGAUAACCUACCUAUAAGACUGGGAUAACUUCGGGAAACCGGAGCUAAUACCGGAUAAUAUUUUGAACCGCAUGGUUCAAAAGUGAAAGACGGUCUUGCUGUCACUUAUAGAUGGAUCCGCGCUGCAUUAGCUAGUUGGUAAGGUAACGGCUUACCAAGGCAACGAUGCAUAGUCGACCUGAGAGGGGAACCGGCCACACUGGAACUGAACCACGGUCCAAACUCCUACGGAAGGCAGAAGUAGGGAAUCUGCGGAAAUGGGCGAAAGCCUGACGGAGCAACGCCGCGUGAGUGAUGAAGGUCUUCGGAUCGUAAAACUCUGUUAUUAGGGAAGAAAAUAUGGGCAAGUAACUGUGAACAUCUUGACGGUACCUAAUCAGAAAGCCACGGCUAACUACGU
RNAcentral lists this ribosomal RNA (496 nucleotides) under uncultured bacterium. RNAcentral describes it as "partial 16S ribosomal RNA". It matches the Rfam family "Bacterial small subunit ribosomal RNA", at positions 28 to 506 of the family's 1533-position model. The record is from RNAcentral.